UGGGGAAUCUUGGACAAUGGGGGCAACCCUGAUCCAGCCAUGCCGCGUGAGUGAUGAAGGCCUUAGGGUCGUAAAGCUCUUUCGCCUGUGAAGAUAAUGACGGUAGCAGGUAAAGAAACCCCGGCUAACUCCGUGCCAGCAGCCGCGGUAAUACGGAGGGGGUUAGCGUUGUUCGGAAUUACUGGGCGUAAAGCGCACGUAGGCGGACCAGAAAGUUGGGGGUGAAAUCCCGGGGGCUCAACCCCGGAACUGCCUCCAAAACUAUUGGUCUAGAGUUCGAGAGAGGUGAGUGGAAUUCCAAGUGUAGAGGUGAAAUUCGUAGAUAUUUGGAGGAACACCAGUGGCGAAGGCGGCUCACUGGCUCGAUACUGACGCUGAGGUGCGAAAGUGUGGGGAGCAAACAGGAUUAGAUACCCUGGGUAGUCCACACCGUAAAACGAUGAAUGCCAGUCGUCGGGUAGCAUGCUAUUCGGUGACACACCUAACGGAUUAAGCAUUCCGCCUGGGGAGUACGGUCGCAAGAUUAAAACUCAAAGGAAUU
Molecule: ribosomal RNA, 541 nt
Filed under: uncultured bacterium
Lineage: Bacteria
Description: bacterial SSU rRNA
Rfam family: Bacterial small subunit ribosomal RNA
Source: RNAcentral